AAGGGAGGCUAUGAUUUUAAAUAGUGAGGUCAUAGAAGGCUCAGGGAGAGGCAGAUCUCUGUGCAGGUAUUUGAAGGGGUGAGGAGGAAGCCAUUGCAAAGACCCUGGGGCAGGAGUACCCUAGAAGCCUUAGCAGCUUCUAGGAACAGCAGCAGAAGCAAAAAAGGACGUUGGUGCUGGGGCAUGGUGUGCUGGGCGCCAGGAGCUGCUAUAGCCUUCAUUUCCUCCUCCUAGUGAAACAGAGACCCUCAGGACUUCCACCUCAAAGUUCAUCAGAUAUUAUUACUAAGGGACAUCAAAGCCCAUUUCCCCCUCUGCCAGUAUCUUCACCCCAUUCCAGACCCUCCAGGAAGGAAGCUGCUGCUCUGUCCUUUUUCAGAGGCCACCAUGCCUUGCACCCUGCACAGUCACAGCAGUCACCCUGUGCUAACACCAAGUCUGAAGCCUCAACCCUUCAAGCUCAGAAAUCCAGUGCCUGCCCACUCC
Molecule: long non-coding RNA, 486 nt
Filed under: Fukomys damarensis (Damara mole-rat)
Lineage: Eukaryota; Metazoa; Chordata; Mammalia; Rodentia; Bathyergidae
Description: lncRNA (ENSFDAG00000029408.1)
Source: RNAcentral